UGUGCCAGCCGCCGCGGUAAUACGUAGGGUCCGAGCGUUGUCCGGAAUUACUGGGCGUAAAGAGCUCGUAGGUGGUUUGUCGCGUUGUUCGUGAAAUCUCACGGCUUAACUGUGAGCGUGCGGGCGAUACGGGCAGACUAGAGUACUGCAGGGGAGACUGGAAUUCCUGGUGUAGCGGUGGAAUGCGCAGAUAUCAGGAGGAACACCGGUGGCGAAGGCGGGUCUCUGGGCAGUAACUGACGCUGAGGAGCGAAAGCGUGGGGAGCGAACAGGAUUAGAUACCCUGGUAGUCCACGCCGUAAAMMGGUGGGUACUAGGUGUGGGUUUCCUUCCUUGGGAUCCGUGCCGUASSUAACGCAUUAAGUACCCCGCCUGGGGAGUACGCCGCAAGCUAAACUCAAAGAAUUGCGAAUCCCGC
This 418-nucleotide ribosomal RNA is filed under the name uncultured organism. RNAcentral describes it as "SSU rRNA". It matches the Rfam family "Bacterial small subunit ribosomal RNA", at positions 504 to 924 of the family's 1533-position model. The record is from RNAcentral.